RNAcentral lists this ribosomal RNA (468 nucleotides) under uncultured bacterium. RNAcentral's name for it is "partial 16S ribosomal RNA". It matches the Rfam family "Bacterial small subunit ribosomal RNA", at positions 28 to 507 of the family's 1533-position model. The record is from RNAcentral.
GACGAACGCUGGCGGCGUGCUUAACACAUGCAAGUCGAACGGAAAGGCCCUGCUUUUGUGGGGUUGUCGAUUGGCGAACGGGGGAGUAACACGUGAGUAACCUGCCCUUGACUUUGGGAGAACACCAGGAAACUGGGGCUAAUACCGGAGAUGAGCUCCUGCUGCAUGUGGGGGGUUGGAAAGUGUCGGCGGUUGGGGAUGGACUCGCGGCUUAUCAGCUGGUUGGUGGGGUAGUGGCGUACCAAGGGUUUGACGGGUAGCCGGCCUGAGAGGGUGACCGGCCACAUUGGGACUGAGAUACGGAGCAGAAUCCUACGGGAGGCAGCAGUGGGGAAUAUUACACAAUGGGCGGACGCCUGAUGCAGCAACGCCGCGUGCGGGAUGACGGGCUUCGGGUUGUAAACCGCUUUCGCCUGUGACGAAGCGUGCGUGACGGUAAUGGGUAAAGAAGCAACGGCUAACUACGUG